GCACCUUUUUGGCGAGGACACGGGAGGCAGUACACACCGCAGCCAUGAUGGGUCGUUUCGUCUGAUAAAAGCAACGUUACCAAACACUUCUUGGGUCCCAGUGUAUGCCGGUGCCGGAGUAUACCAUCUCAAGAGAGGGGUGGGAAAUUACGGAAUGUUUAUUUUCAUAAGAGAGACGAUUGAGGUUCGAUUGAAGAGACAUUCAUGAACAUAAAGGCCAGACGAACAACCUGACGCUAAGGAUAUACUGCUGCUCCCGGAGGAGGCCCAAAUCCCUGUCAUUCGCAUGAAGAGGAGACUGAUUCAGAGGCUGCAGAUCCAGAUACCUUGUGAGAAUUUGUCGGUGACUGGGUUAUCCGCCUGUAACAUCCGUCCUAUUGGCCGACAUGCAAUCACUGGAGAAUAAACUGGAAGAGCUCCGUUCAAGACUAUCCUACUAACGGGACAUUAAAAACUGUAAUAUCACAGAGUUGUGCCUGAACGACGACAUGGGUAAUAUACAGUUGGCUGGGUUUUCCUCAGCCAGACACAACAGCUACCCCAGGUAAGACAAGGUGGUGGUCUGGGUCUAUUUGUCAGUAACAGCUGGUGUGCGAUCUCUAAUAUUAAGGAAGUCUCAGCCCGGAGUGGCGGCAAUGGGAACAAGUGGAAUUACGCCCUACUAAUGCCCAUGAUUGACCUACCUGCCUUCCGUAAGUACUGUAUUACAUAUACACAAGCUGCAUGCUCAAGGACCUCUGCAGGAGCACAGAGCAGCUUGUCUGUUGACUAGAUAUAAGUUAAUUACGUGUAACGUUGCUGACUCAACCUUACUUUGCUAUGAGACGGCCACUUUACAGACAUCCAUUUUAGGCCAAUGAAUAUGUACUGUGCUGUUGAUGUCUUAUUAAAUGCAUUAACUAUCUCAAUGCACUUCCUGCUAUCCAAGAUUGGCAUGUCAGAUGACAAAUGUUCCUUACUCUCAUUUGGUAAAAUAAGGUCUGAACAAGUGGCAACAUUCCAUAACUUGUAAGGCAUAGGUAAAAGACAACAAGCUAAAUGUGU
Molecule: long non-coding RNA, 1044 nt
Organism: Oncorhynchus keta (chum salmon)
Lineage: Eukaryota; Metazoa; Chordata; Actinopteri; Salmoniformes; Salmonidae
Exons: 3
Source: RefSeq, a predicted model, not a curated record